GGCGUUAAAACAAGUUGUAAUCGCAUUGGAAAUGAAAAUAUAGAAGCUCUGUAUUACAAACUACAGUACUCAACUGGAGCUGACAAAGACUCCAGGGGGGAGGGGAAGAAAGAGUUUGGAUUCGGACAUGCGGUGGAGAAGGCAACCAAAGAAGCACAAGGAAGCUAAAACUGAAGAGAACAAAAGCUCAACCUACAAAGGUAUACCUUCUGUUACUAUUUGCGUGUACAGUGAAUCUGCCUCUUCUGUGUUGAGCAUUUUGCAUAGUCAUCUUACAGACAAACAAGUUAUGACACCAUGAUAACGCUAAAGAAGAUCGCUCAAGCAACACAACCACAUUCAUCUACCAUUUCAGAUCUAUUCAUCCACAAGGAUUGCAAACUAUUCGAAUGUGAAGCUUGAGGCCAUCAACUGCUACAGCUAUGUCCACUUUUAACAGGUCAUGACAUUGCUAAAUGCUUUUGGCAACUUCAUUCAAUACGUACUGUAUGAAACCAUAGCAUAGUUCACAUGGCUAUUCAGACUCAGCCUAUUUCAUUUCUUCUAAUGACA
Corticium candelabrum is the source of this 552-nucleotide long non-coding RNA. RefSeq lists it as uncharacterized. The record is from RefSeq and is a predicted model, not a curated record. The transcript has 3 exons. NCBI's taxonomy places the organism in Eukaryota, Metazoa, Porifera, Homoscleromorpha, Homosclerophorida, Plakinidae.